RNAcentral lists this ribosomal RNA (119 nucleotides) under Lactuca sativa (garden lettuce). RNAcentral also lists the same sequence under 6 other names. Lineage: Eukaryota; Viridiplantae; Streptophyta; Magnoliopsida; Asterales; Asteraceae. The record is from RNAcentral.
GGGUGCGAUCAUACCAGCACUAAUGCACCGGAUCCCAUCAGAACUCCGCAGUUAAGUGUGCUUGGGCGAGAGUAGUACUAGGAUGGGUGACCUCCUGGGAAGUCCUCGUGUUGCACCCC